This 1872-nucleotide long non-coding RNA is filed under the name Homo sapiens (human). RNAcentral describes it as "HSALNT0057853". Lineage: Eukaryota; Metazoa; Chordata; Mammalia; Primates; Hominidae. The record is from RNAcentral.
CCACUAUCUCUCCUGAAUUCAGCUGGGAGAGCUCUCACUCCAAAUACUGCUUGGUGCUGGGUUAUGUUAUUUCCUGCUCAGAAAUCUUUCCUAUUGCCUAGCAAAUUGAAAAUAUUCAACUAUUAAGGCAUUUAAAGCACUUUAAAAUAUGCUCUCAAUCAGCUUAGGUACUCUUAUCUCUGACUACUUACCUAAACAGUUCCUAAGCCUUGAUCAAAUUGGCCAGCUUACUGCAUUUUAUCUUCAUAUCCCCCACAGCUUUGGAUGGUAUACUCAUUUGGACAGAAGGUUUCAAAAGAAAGAAGAAGAGAGAGAGGAGAAAAGAAGAAAAGAAAAGAAAAGAAAAGAAAGAAAAGAAAAGAGAAAUGAAAAAAAAAAUAGGAAAACAGGUGAAGACAAUGAACAAAUGGCUCCACUUUUGUAACCAACAGAGAUUCCAGCAUGAUCACAAACAAAACAUCUGACAACUCAAAAAAGUAUCUCCAUGUGUUUCCACACAUGGACCAAUUUGGACUGGAAUGAAAAGUGUGAGCUACCACAAACAGUUCCUCUUCAGGUCAUAUAUGGUGGUCACCCCAACACUAUGCUCUUCUGUAAAACAUUUUACACUUACAGCCUUGUCCAGUUUCUCUCUCCAACAACUUGACUUCCUGUGCUAUAGAUAAGUAUCAAUGCCUCCUCUUUUUUAAAUCACUGUGGCCCAUAAAGAUAUUUCUAGGCCUCUUGACAUUUUCAACUCUAUUUUUACACCACAGACCUGAGAAUAAUGAAAAAAUGCAGUAAGUAAUGUACAUAGGUCUUUUCCUCAUGUGGGACAUUGCGGGUAACCUGACAUUGGUGAGACUGGACUGAACAUAUGCCAUUUUAUUACCCUCUGUGGCUGUGCCUGUGUGGGAGAAUCCGUAUGUGUGUGGGAAAGGUCUGUCACAUCUGAAGAGGGCUGGAAGGGUCUUUUCUCCUUUGAUGAUAAUGAAUAAACUGCAUGUUGUGCACCUGUGUAUUGACCAUGACCCAUCACGUGAGGUCAGCGUGGAAUUUUCUACUUGUGGUGUCAUGUUGGCACCCAAAAAUUUCAGAUUUUUGAGCAUUUUGAAUUUCAGAUUUUUGGAUUAGCUAUACUCAACCUGCAAUGUUUAUAUUUACAUAAUAUGAAUGAAGAGAGGCUUAAAAUAAGGUCAAAUAACUUUCUCAAAAUUGCAGAUGGUAAACACUGGGCCAUUUUAUUAAGAUUAUUGUGAAGCUUCCUGAUUGAUCUCAGUGAUCUCAAUCUCACUGUAUGUCAUACUGCUACCAGAAUAAUUUUUCAAUAUGUAAAUCUAAUUCUACUAGUUACCUGCCUAAAAUCUCGAGGUAGAUUCCCAUAUGAUUUGAAAGUAUUUUUUGACUUUUUCUUGCAUAUUGUUCUUUUUGUAUGGGCCACUGCAAUAAUUCUGGACUUUUUCCAAGCUAAAUUAUUUAUUGCUCCCAUUACUUGUUUACAUGUGCUCUUCCCGCUGCUAGAGCUUUCUCCAUUCUUUUAUUCAUAUGCUCAAUUACAAUUCUUUCUUUAAACAUGUUUCAUCACACCUAAGAAGUUGUUUCAAACAUCUCAAUCUGAUAUAAAAUGAACUCUGUAUCAAACUUUAUCAGCCCCUAUCCCAUGCUAUUAAAAUUAUUUCUUUCUUACCAGGCACACUUUUGAAACUACAAACUUUUGAAUACACACAUACACACACACACACACACACACACACACACCCCAUACAUACUCAAUAUACUUAUAUACUCAAUAUAUGUGUCUGUAUAUAUAUAUAUAAAAAUAAUAUAUAUGUAUGCAUUAAUCGUGCAGAUUUAUGUAGUUCUGCAUAAUUUUUUCAUUUUGUCAGUUCACAC